CAGCACCUCAAGUGGUCAGGAUGAUUAUUGGGCCUAAAGCAUCCGUAGCCGGCUCUGUAAGUUUUCGGUUAAAUCUGUAUGCUCAACAUACAGGCUGCCGGGAAUACUGCAAAGCUAGGGAGUGGGAGAGGUAGACGGUACUCGGUAGGAAGGGGUAAAAUCCUUUGAUCUAUUGAUGACCACCUGUGGCGAAGGCGGUCUACAAGAACACGUCCGACGGUGAGGGAUGAAAGCUGGGGGAGCAAACCGGAUUAGAUACCCGAGUAGUCC
This 270-nucleotide ribosomal RNA is filed under the name uncultured archaeon. RNAcentral describes it as "partial 16S ribosomal RNA". It matches the Rfam family "Archaeal small subunit ribosomal RNA", at positions 477 to 747 of the family's 1478-position model. The record is from RNAcentral.